RNAcentral lists this ribosomal RNA (500 nucleotides) under Hafnia sp. J82. RNAcentral describes it as "bacterial SSU rRNA". It matches the Rfam family "Bacterial small subunit ribosomal RNA", at positions 835 to 1334 of the family's 1533-position model. The record is from RNAcentral. Lineage: Bacteria; Pseudomonadati; Pseudomonadota; Gammaproteobacteria; Enterobacterales; Hafniaceae.
AGGCGUGGCUUCCGGAGCUAACGCGUUAAGUCGACCGCCUGGGGAGUACGGCCGCAAGGUUAAAACUCAAAUGAAUUGACGGGGGCCCGCACAAGCGGUGGAGCAUGUGGUUUAAUUCGAUGCAACGCGAAGAACCUUACCUACUCUUGACAUCCAGAGAAUUUGCUAGAGAUAGCUUAGUGCCUUCGGGAACUCUGAGACAGGUGCUGCAUGGCUGUCGUCAGCUCGUGUUGUGAAAUGUUGGGUUAAGUCCCGCAACGAGCGCAACCCUUAUCCUUUGUUGCCAGCGAGUAAUGUCGGGAACUCAAAGGAGACUGCCGGUGAUAAACCGGAGGAAGGUGGGGAUGACGUCAAGUCAUCAUGGCCCUUACGAGUAGGGCUACACACGUGCUACAAUGGCAUAUACAAAGAGAAGCGAACUCGCGAGAGCAAGCGGACCUCAUAAAGUAUGUCGUAGUCCGGAUUGGAGUCUGCAACUCGACUCCAUGAAGUCGGAAUCG